UACGUAGGGGGCUAGCGUUGUCCGGAAUCAUUGGGCGUAAAGAGCGUGUAGGCGGCCGGGUAGGUCUGCUGUGAAAACUCGAGGCUCAACCUCGAGACGUCGGCGGAAACCAUCUGGCUAGAGUCCGGAAGAGGAGAGUGGAAUUCCUGGUGUAGCGGUGAAAUGCGCAGAUAUCAGGAAGAACACCCGUGGCGAAGGCGGCUCUCUGGGACGGUACUGACGCUGAGACGCGAAAGCGUGGGGAGCGAACAGG
RNAcentral lists this ribosomal RNA (253 nucleotides) under uncultured bacterium. RNAcentral describes it as "partial 16S ribosomal RNA". It matches the Rfam family "Bacterial small subunit ribosomal RNA", at positions 524 to 776 of the family's 1533-position model. The record is from RNAcentral.